GAUGAAGAACGUAGCGAAAUGCGAUACGUAAUGUGAAUUGCAGAAUUCAGUGAAUCAUCGAGUCUUUGAACGCACAUUGCGCCCCCUGGUAUUCCGGGGGGCAUGCCUGUCCGAGCGUCAUUACUGCCCUCAAGCACGGCUUGUGUGUUGGGCCUCCGUCCUCCUCCCGGGGGACGGGCCCGAAAGGCAGCGGCGGCACCGCGUCCGGUCCUCGAGCGUAUGGGGCUUCGUCACCCGCUCUUGUAGGCCCGGCCGGCGCUUGCCGACACAUCAAUCUUUUUUCCAGGUUGACCUCGGAUCAGGUAGGGAUACCCGCUGAACUUAAGCAUAUCAAUAAGCGGAGGA
This 345-nucleotide unclassified non-coding RNA is filed under the name soil metagenome. RNAcentral's name for it is "partial contains 5.8S ribosomal RNA, internal transcribed spacer 2, and large subunit ribosomal RNA". The stretch from base 1 to 120 matches the Rfam family "5.8S ribosomal RNA", at positions 35 to 154 of the family's 154-position model. The record is from RNAcentral.